CCUACGGGAGGCAGCAGUGGGGAAUAUUGGACAAUGGGGGGAACCCUGAUCCAGCCAUGUCGCGUGUGUGAAGAAGGCCCUCGGGUUGUAAAGCACUUUCAGUGAGGAAGAACGCCUGGUGGUUAAUACCCAUCAGGAAAGACAUCACUCACAGAAGAAGCACCGGCUAACUCCGUGCCAGCAGCCGCGGUAAUACGGAGGGUGCGAGCGUUAAUCGGAAUUACUGGGCGUAAAGCGCGCGUAGGUGGCUUGAUAAGCCGGUUGUGAAAGCCCCGGGCUCAACCUGGGAACGGCAUCCGGAACUGUCAAGCUAGAGUGCAGGAGAGGAAGGUAGAAUUCCCGGUGUAGCGGUGAAAUGCGUAGAGAUCGGGAGGAAUACCAGUGGCGAAGGCGGCCUUCUGGACUGACACUGACACUGAGGUGCGAAAGCGUGGGUAGCAAACAGGAUUAGAUACCCCAGUAGUC
RNAcentral lists this ribosomal RNA (465 nucleotides) under Vreelandella stevensii. RNAcentral describes it as "partial 16S ribosomal RNA". It matches the Rfam family "Bacterial small subunit ribosomal RNA", at positions 338 to 795 of the family's 1533-position model. Lineage: Bacteria; Pseudomonadati; Pseudomonadota; Gammaproteobacteria; Oceanospirillales; Halomonadaceae. The record is from RNAcentral.